Molecule: long non-coding RNA, 854 nt
Organism: Pecten maximus
Lineage: Eukaryota; Metazoa; Mollusca; Bivalvia; Pectinida; Pectinidae
Exons: 3
Source: RefSeq, a predicted model, not a curated record
GGUGGUACCUGUGGUGUAGGGUAACUUAUUGGGGCGUGGAGAGGAGGUGUUUGGUGGUAGGAUGGGAGAAGGUGGUACCUGUGGUGUAGGGUAACUUAUUGGGGCGUGGAGAGGAGGUGUUUGGUGGUAGGAUGGGAGAAGGUGGUACCUGUGGUGUAGAGUAACUUACUGGGGCGUGGAGAGGAGGUUUUUGGUGGUAGGAUGGGAGAAGGUGGUACCUGUGGUGUAGGGUAACUUAUUGGGGUGUGGAGAGGAGGUGCUUGUGGAUAGGAUGGGAGAAGGUGGUACCUGUGGUGUAGGGUAACUUAUUGGGGCGGGAGUGGAGGUGUUUGGUGGUAGGAUGGGAGAAGGUGGUACCUGUGGUGUAGGGUACCUUCUUGGGGUGUGGAGAGGAGGUGUUUGGUGAUAGGAUGGGAGAAGGUGGUACCUGUGGUGUAGGGUACCUUAUUGGGGUGUGGAGAGGAGGUGUUUGGUGGUAGGAUGGGAGAAGGUGGUACCUGUGGUGUAGGGUACCUUAUUGGGGUGUGGAGAGGAGGUGUUUGGUGAUAGGAUGGGAGAAGGUGGUACCUGUGGUGUAGGGUAACUUAUUGGGGCGUGGAGAGGAGGUGUUUGGUGGUAGGAUGGGAGAAGGUGGUACCUGUGGUGUAGGGUAACUUAUUGGGGUGUAGAGAGGAGGUGUUUGGUGAUAGGAUGGGAGAAGGUGGUACCUGUGGUGUAGGGUAACUUAUUGGGGCGUGGAGAGGAGGUGUUUGGUGGUAGGAUGGGAGAAGGUGGUACCUGUGGUGUAGGGUAACUUAUUGGGGCGUGGAGAGGAGGUGUUUGGUGGUAGGAUGGGAGAAGGUGGUACCUGUGGU